Molecule: long non-coding RNA, 459 nt
Organism: Phyllostomus discolor (pale spear-nosed bat)
Lineage: Eukaryota; Metazoa; Chordata; Mammalia; Chiroptera; Phyllostomidae
Exons: 3
Source: RefSeq, a predicted model, not a curated record
UUCUCAACUUCAUCUAUUCUAUUGUUGUUUCCCUGGGAGUUGUUCUUUAUUUCAAUUAGUGUAUCCUUCUUUUCUGAUUGGAUCUUUUUUAUGCUGCUGAGGUCCUCACUAAAUUCUUCCAGCAUUCUUAUAAGCAGUAUUUUGAGCUCUGCAUCUGAUAGAUUUCUUACCUCCUUUUUGUUUAGCUCUUUUUCUGGAGUUUUGAUCUGUUCUUUCAUUUGGGCCAUGUUUCUUUGUCUCCUUGUUUUGGCAGCUUCCUUGUGUUUGUUUCUAUGUAUUAGGUAGAGCUGCUUUGAGUCCAUGUCUUGGUAGUAUGGCCUAAUGUAGUAGGUGUCCUGUACGGUCCAGUGGUACAGCCUGCUCUAUUACACAAACUGGGUACUCGAGUCGUACCCUUUGUGUGGGCUGAGUACACCCUCCUCUUGUAGUUGAGCUUUGGUUGCUGAUCAGUGACUGGAA